GAUGAAGAACGUAGCGAAAUGCGAUAAGUAAUGUGAAUUGCAGAAUUCAGUGAAUCAUCGAAUCUUUGAACACACAUUGCGCCCGCCAGUAUUCUGGCGGGCAUGCCUGUUCGAGCGUCAUUUCAACCCUCAGGCCCCCAGUGCCUGGUGUUGGGGAUCGGCCCAGCCUUCCUGUAAGGCCGCCGGCCCCGAAAUCUAGUGGCGGUCUCGCUGUAGUCCUCCUCUGCGUAGUAGCACAACCUCGCAGUUGGAACGCGGCGGUGGCCAUGCCGUUAAACACCCCACUUCUGAAAGUUGACCUCGGAUCAGGUAGGAAUACCCGCUGAACUUAAGCAUAUCAAUAAGCGGAGGA
This 352-nucleotide unclassified non-coding RNA is filed under the name soil metagenome. RNAcentral describes it as "partial contains 5.8S ribosomal RNA, internal transcribed spacer 2, and large subunit ribosomal RNA". The stretch from base 1 to 120 matches the Rfam family "5.8S ribosomal RNA", at positions 35 to 154 of the family's 154-position model. The record is from RNAcentral.